GGGACGAACCGGGCCGCCGUCGCCGAGGCUUGCCUCGGCGGAGGAAAGUCCGGGCUCGAAAGGACGCGACGCCGGCUAACGGCCGGGCGUACGGCUGGCGACGGCCGUACGACAGAAAGCGCAACAGAAAGCGAACCGCCUGCGCCGAAAGGCGCGGGUAAGGGUGAAAAGGUGGGGUAAGAGCCCACCGCGUUCGCGGCGACGCGAACGGCACGGCAAGCCUCGUCGCGAGCAAGGCCGAACAGCGGAGGCGCGGUUCGCGCUCCGUCUCCACCGCGAGGUGGAGACGGUACUCCGCGGGUAGGCCGCGAAAGCGGAAGAGCGAUCUUCCGCAAAGAUGGAUGGCGGCCGCCGCGAAAGCGGUACAGAACCCGGCUUAUAGGUUCGUCCCUUUU
Molecule: RNase P RNA, 395 nt
Filed under: Spirochaetae bacterium HGW-Spirochaetae-3
Lineage: Bacteria; Pseudomonadati; Spirochaetota
Description: RNase P RNA component class A
Rfam family: Bacterial RNase P class A
About the family: Ribonuclease P (RNase P) is a ubiquitous endoribonuclease, found in archaea, bacteria and eukarya as well as chloroplasts and mitochondria.
Source: RNAcentral